This 927-nucleotide ribosomal RNA is filed under the name uncultured bacterium. Its description in RNAcentral is "bacterial SSU rRNA". It matches the Rfam family "Bacterial small subunit ribosomal RNA", at positions 28 to 922 of the family's 1533-position model. The record is from RNAcentral.
GAUGAACGCUGGCGGCGUGCCUAACACAUGCAAGUCGAACGGUCUUGGAAGCUGGAAGCUGGCAACUGGAAGCUGGCUUGCUAGCAAUCAGUAACUGGCAACUAGCAACCAGGAUAGUGGCGAACGGGUGAGUAACACGUAGGUGACCUGCCCCGAAGAGGGGGAUAACCGCUGGAAACGGCGGCUAAUACCCCAUGUGGUCAUGGGGUUUAGAGGCCUCAUGAUUAAAGCUCCGGCGCUUCGGGAGGGGCCUGCGGCCUAUCAGCUAGUUGGUGGGGUAAUGGCCCACCAAGGCGAUGACGGGUAGCUGGUCUGAGAGGACGAUCAGCCACACGGGCACUGAGACACGGGCCCGACUCCUACGGGAGGCAGCAGUGAGGGAUAUUGCGCAAUGGGCGAAAGCCUGACGCAGCAACGCCGCGUGGGCGAUGAAGGCCUUCGGGUUGUAAAGCCCUUUUCUGGGGGAAGAGGAAGGACGGUACCCCAGGAAUAAGUCCCGGCUAACUACGUGCCAGCAGCCGCGGUAAAACGUAGGGGACAAGUGUUAUCCGGAUUCAUUGGGCGUAAAGCGCGUGCAGGUGGUGCUUUAAGUUGGGCGUGAAAGCUCCCGGCUUAACUGGGAGAGGUCGUUCAAUACUGAAGCACUUGAGGGCAGGAGAGGGAGGUGGAAUUCCCGGUGUAGUGGUGAAAUGCGUAGAUAUCGGGAGGAACACCAGUGGCGAAGGCGGCCUCCUGGCCUGCUCCUGACACUAAGACGCGAAAGCUAGGGGAGCAAACGGGAUUAGAUACCCGGUAGUCCUAGCUGUAAAACGAUGGAUACUAGGUGUGGGUGGUAUUGACCCCAUCCGUGCCGAAGCUAACGCGAUAAGUAUCCCGCCUGGGGACUACGGCCGCAAGGUUAAAACUCAAAGGAAUUGACGGGGGCCC